UUUUUCCUUUCCCAAAAAGCAUUGGGAUGUUCACUACAUAUAGAGGUUUCUAUUUGUUGUUGAAUUGAUUGAAUCUUUUGUUGAAUCAAAGGUUCUUGUAUUUGUUCUUCUAUAUACUUAUAUUUAAUUUCUUGUUUUAAAGUACAGAGAAAUUUUUCUUUAUUUUGUAACUGACUUUUUACAUUGUUAAUUUCUUUUAGUUUUGGUUUAUGAAUGAAUUCAAAGUGUAUUGGUAUAUAUAUAUAUAUAAACUCUUGCCAACGCUUAAGACAGAAGAUCACGAC
RNAcentral lists this long non-coding RNA (284 nucleotides) under Amborella trichopoda. Its description in RNAcentral is "long non-coding RNA (ATRI_LNC001063)". The record is from RNAcentral. Lineage: Eukaryota; Viridiplantae; Streptophyta; Magnoliopsida; Amborellales; Amborellaceae.